AGCGAACGCCGGCGGCAGGCCUAACACAUGCAAGUCGAGGGAGAAGCUGCUCUUCGGAGCGGUGGAGACCGGCGCACGGGUGAGUAACGCGUGGGAACCUACCCCGGGGUGCGGAAUAACUGCUGGAAACGGCAGCUAAUACCGCAUACGCCUUGAGAGGGAAAGCUAUGGCUUCGGCCAUUUGCGCUCUGGGACGGGCCCGCGUUGGAUUAGCUUGUUGGUGAGGUAAAGGCUCACCAAGGCAACGAUCUAUAGCUGGUCUGAGAGGAUGAUCAGCCACACUGGGACUGAGACACGGCCCAG
This 303-nucleotide ribosomal RNA is filed under the name uncultured bacterium. Its description in RNAcentral is "bacterial SSU rRNA". It matches the Rfam family "Bacterial small subunit ribosomal RNA", at positions 29 to 334 of the family's 1533-position model. The record is from RNAcentral.